CAGAGCGCGUAGGCCUCAAGGGUGUGAUGGGAAGUGUCUGCCUUCCAAGGAGUGACCAUAAAGAGGCAUUUUCUGAACCUAUUCUUAGCGCUCUUAUCUCCUCAGAUGUAGGAGGCAGACCAAGCAGGGCAAGGAAAUCAGAGUAGACACUGAAGAGAAGAAACCAAGGGGCCUGAAAUCCCAAGUGACUGAGCUGCUAUUUCGAAGGGAUGUUUAAAGGCUCCCUUUCAACAUCACUGAUAAGAGAUCAUCAUUUCUGAAGUGGUUCCAUGCUGUACUGGUGUCUCUUUGGAGAUCCACCUUUGCAACAACAGAAUGGCACAAAAUCAGCCGUGCCACGGAAAGAACCAGCAAUUUUCCUGCACUCUACAGUGUAACCAAGAAUGUGGGAAAUAAAGUGCUGAUAUAUUGACUCAUUUAAGUUUCACCACAACUCUCCGGUAGGUACUCUUACUAUAUCUAUUUCACAGAUGAGGAAACAGAGGCACAGAAAGCAAACAACUUGCUCUAAGUGACCUGCUUUGAACCCACAUAGCUCUGAAAACAUUCUGCCACGUAUUUAUACUGCUGCACUUAACGCGCUAUUUUGCAGUUUGUUUCCAAGUCCUCUUCAAUACUGUGAGCUUCUGAAAGCAAGGACCUGUUCAUCUUUGUUCAGUUCUGUAUCCCCAUUACAUGGCAGUCCAAGCUGAUGGACCUCUUUUGUGCUUACCAGGCCAUGACAGAGACCCUCAACUGUGACCAGCCAAGUCCCAACUUUCUAAAUAAGCCUGGAACUGAACAUUCACUGGGUGGCCUAGGAUGUAAGCAAAUGAAGUACAUUGGCCAUCUGCAAUCAUCCCUGGGAAAUACCUCAUCUGAAUCUAGAGCCAAAAAAAAAAAAAAAAAAGGAACGUCACUCCACAAGAAACUCCAGAACCUCAACAAAAAUUGGAAACUAAAUCUUUAAAGGCAAAACAACUCAGACAGAAUCCAGAAUUAACUCUUUUUGAUUCAGAAAAGAUAACUCUUGAGAUUUUGCGGCCCAUUAGUGCAAGGUCAAACACAAAAGAGUUAUACGUCAAUUACACCCCAAUAGUAUUAAUAACAAUAAUACAAACAACAAAAAACCAAAUGGAAGAUUCUGGGCCAGUGAAUUACAGCUGUGGGCAAUCAACAGCAUAGCACCCAUAAAAGCACAGUUAAUACACAGACUAGUAACUAAGAGCCUACGCUGCCCAGUGCUACCUGAAAUUUGAAUGUGGCUCUGCCCCAGUCUACUGUAUGACCUUGGUUAGGUUCUUCAACCUCUCGGUGCCUGACAUUCCACAUCCAUAAAACAAGGCUUAAAAAGAGAACCCAUGUUUUAGGGUUGUUGGGAGGAUUAAAUGAGUGAUGAACCAAAUGCUUAUAGCACAGUGCCCGGCACACAGGAAGGGCGCAAUAAACAAAACCUUUUACCUUCCUGCUUCUUCAAUAACAUAGGCAGAGAACGACUGGCAUGGAAGGCACAUUAUUACAGCCAUCACCUUUGCUCCUGGUGCCUGGCACACAGUCGGCAUUUAGUGGGUUUUCACUGAAUGAAUGAAUGGCCCAAGUGCUUCCCAGGCUUUUGUUCAAGGAGGGAAACUAGAAUGGCAAUCAGAAAUAAGGCUUAAAUGUCACGAGGACUAGCCCAGUAAACCCAUCAAUUUAGCAUUCUAUUAACAAGAUCGACGUGUUACAGACAUCCACCGUAUGUGUUCAUAAUAACGAUCCUUAGACAUUGUAUAAAUCCUCUUGUGUUUUAGGAAUUUUCAAUGGUUAAAUUACAUUCAAAGCAGUUUUAAAAUUAAGUAUAUAUUACUGCAUUCAAACGCUUUAAAAAUUGGAAAUCCAUGUAGAGCAAAAAUGGCAACAAUGAAUUAACUGGAAUAUUCUGAUUGAUUGCAACACUUAGUUCACACUUCUCUACCCACACGCUGUUGUAUCCGUCUACAUUCUCUAUUUCUCACUAGACUGUGAACGCCUCUUAUGUCUAGCACUUUAGUAUCCACUGUGCCGGGGAUAUAAUCAUGGUCAGGACAUACUUGCCAAUAACAGCCACUGUGCUCCAUGAGCACACCACAGUAAAACGUUUAGCCUGGGAACAUAUUCCUUUGGUGUACCUACAUCUCCAUAAAACAAUCAAAACCUCAUGUGUUUAAGAUUUUUAAAUAUAAAUUUCAACAUUUAAAAAUACAGUACAUUCUAAAUCAUUUCUUUAAAACUCUAAAAUUUAAAUGAUGUGACAGAAUCUAUGUCCCUUUUAAUUUAGAUUUCCAACAAAGUCCAAUAAAAACUGUUAGUUUUCUUAUAAUAAACUAUUAAAGGCUCAUACUGCUGUCUGGAAGACUGACAUCAUACUAUUGUACUGUGAAUGGUGACACUUGCUCAAAGACAAGGAAGUAGGAAGAAGAAAAGAUGGGAGUACGUGAAGAAAAGGAAGAUUAAAAAGCAAUCUCUGAUUCCUCCUCUUACACAUUAUGAAAAUAUUAGGCCCAGGAGUCUGCUCUGUACUCCUGUCAGAAAGAAAACUAAGUCAAAAAGACCAGCUCAUCAUCUCCUGGACUCUUACGCCAAUGCCAGGGAAAAUGGCCGGUGUGCUGGGGCGAAAGGUGGGUGCACGGCAGGUGGAGUCUGAACAUAAGGUGGUGCCCCUUCAGUCAGUGCCCCAGCCUCCUGUCACAUUCCAUGGCGGCUCUUAACUCCUACUGUCUAAGAGAGUCCACUCCAAAGCUGUGCCCCCUACCUGAGUACUAGAAGUGCAGCAGGGAAUAAAAUCUUAGCAAGAGGAUCUUGACUUUAAAGGAGAGAGUUCAGGGGCGCCUGGGUGGCUCAGUCGGUUGAGUGUCCGGCUUCGGGCUCAGGUCAUGAUCUCGCGGUUCGUGAGUUCGAGCCCCGCGUCGGGCUCUGUUCUGACAGCUCAGAGCCUGGAGCCUGCUUUGGAAUCUGUGUCCCCCUCUCUCUCCGCCCCACCCCUGCUUGUGCUCUCUGUCUUUCAAAAAUGAAUAAACAUAAAAAAAAAAAAAAUUUAAAGGAGAGAGUUCAAGCAUGCCUUGGUUGGCUCAAUUGUUAAGCAUCAGACUCUUGAUUUCAGCUCAGGUCAUGAUCUCAUGGUUUGUGAGUUCGAGCCCCACAUCAGGCUCUGUACUGAUGGCACACAGCCUGCUUGGGAUUCUGUCCCUCCUUCUCUCUGCACUCUCUCUCAAGAUAAAUAAAUUAAAGGGGCACCUGGGCGGCUCAGUCGGUUAAGCGUCCAACUUCGGCUCAGGUCAUGAUCUCUCACACUCUGUGAGUUCGAGCUGCUGACAGCUCAGAGCCUGGAGCCCGCUUCAGAUUCUGUGUCUUCCCCUCUCUCUGCCCCUCUCCUCCUCAUGCUCUGUGUCUGUCUCAAAAAUAAAUAAAAAUAUUUUUUAAAAACUUAAAAAAAACUAAAUUUAAAAAAAUAUUUAAAGGAGGGAGUUCAGUUUUCAUCCCAUCAGUAGGGAGGUUGCGUGUUUCUAUUAAAGUGGAGAUGCCAAAGACAAACUCUCAAUCUCUCACACAGCUUUUUCUGGGGUCUGUACCAUUGUCCUGCAGGGAAGAUUGUGUGUGGGGGGAAGGUUU
This is a long non-coding RNA of Acinonyx jubatus (cheetah), 3606 nucleotides long. RefSeq lists it as uncharacterized. The transcript is spliced from 3 exons. The record is from RefSeq and is a predicted model, not a curated record. Lineage: Eukaryota; Metazoa; Chordata; Mammalia; Carnivora; Felidae.